AUUCAACUGUUACGUGAUAUGUGAUUUAUUCUAACAAUAUAUUAAUUUUUUAACUGAAAUUUUGGAAUGCAUUUAUUUACAUAUACAUUUUUACAGCCAAUUUGUGAAAUAAAUCAUGUAGUUGAGACUUAUUUACAAUGGGUGCCACUGGAUUUUAAUGUUUAUUUUUGAUAAUUAGAAAGAAAAUCUUCAAAUUAAAUAUUUGUUAUUUAACAAUCUUCCCAAAAUCUCUCUACAUUAACUACACGAUUAGUUACUAAAAUAAAAAUUCCAAAAUAUUUAAUAUCAU
Molecule: small RNA, 289 nt
Filed under: Arabidopsis thaliana (thale cress)
Lineage: Eukaryota; Viridiplantae; Streptophyta; Magnoliopsida; Brassicales; Brassicaceae
Description: ATSL024950
Source: RNAcentral